Long non-coding RNA from Pristis pectinata (smalltooth sawfish), 5038 nucleotides. RefSeq lists it as uncharacterized. The transcript is spliced from 3 exons. NCBI's taxonomy places the organism in Eukaryota, Metazoa, Chordata, Chondrichthyes, Rhinopristiformes, Pristidae. The record is from RefSeq and is a predicted model, not a curated record.
GCUACCUUAGGGAUGUUCUGUAAAUGCAGUCUGUUCCUGGUUCACUAAAAUAUUCUGGAAUGGCUUGGCUCCUAGCACAGAAGGAAUUUCAGACUUCACUGAACUGCGAGGAGAGGUGCUCUCCCUGGAGAAGAGAUGAUCGCAAUUAGCAAGGAACACUACCUGGACCACCUUCGAAUGAGAGGCUUCCAGACAGCACUUCGAACUCCGCGUAGGGUGGACUGCGUGCGCGUUCCAAGCAGAGCUCAGCGCGCACGUACCGCGACAUCCACACACCAGGACGCGGCGGGGCGCUUUCCUUUCUUACCAUCCAUGGUUGCUGUCCCUCUGCAUCCGCUCGGCAUCCGUCGACAUGGUGAGUAGUCACUCACUGUAUCAUCGGAGGUGAGACAGACCCCACCCGCCGUUGUGUAUCUGUAUUUCUCAUUCCCCACCGAGGUUAGGGGAUGUAAUUGAGGAAAAUACGACGGUGCUGAAUGGGGAUGAUGGGCAGGCAAUUCAGAGCCUUGGGUCAUCCCGGUCAUACAAUUCUAAAUGGGUUACCUUAACACGGCGGCCGUUUAGUUACCCAGCGCUGGAGGAACUCAGCCGGUCAGGCAGCAGCUAUGGAGGGAAAUGGACAGUCGACGCUUCGGGUUGAGACCCUUCAUCUGAAAUGUUGUUUAGUGAAUUGACCGUUGUUGACGAUUCAGGAUUCCCCUCAUUCCUGAUCACUCGUACUGCAGAAACCUACCUGCAAAAUUGCUGUACAGCACAAACUAGAAGUGUGCCUUUUAUGGAAGUGGGCAGGAUAGCUGUUAGACAUCUGGCAACUAUGUAGUAUUUAGUGUACAGGCAAACACUGGGUUGAAAGGUUCACAGCAAUCUCCAUUCAAAUAGUGCUGCAAAGGCAACAGGCGAUGGCUGCCAUGGAAUCAUGACUUCAUUAGAAUUUGGCUAUCUUGUCUCAAUAUGGAUCUGGUCUACAUCUAGUCCUGAGGUGUUAAUUUGACAGUGUAUUUAAUGUUCUGUUGUGUAUAUUUGUUACUCAAGUAUUUUAAAGUGAAUUUUUAAAAUGUGAUUAAACUUUUGAUAAGUAAUUCAGUUUACAAUAAUUUGUUACAAAAUACUGUUUGCUUAUAAAAUGUUAUGGGCAUUGUGUAUAAAUGUCUACUGUUUACUGAGCUUCAGCACCUAAAGCUGCCAUUGUCAUCCCCUGGUUACACCACCACCACCUGUUUCAUUAUCUUGAGCCUCAUGGCUUGAUUUGGUGGGAAAUAUCCUCAUUGGAUUUGCCUGUAUUGUCUAUUUCUAUUUUCAGGUGUUAAGAGAAUUUGGAAAUGGGAUUUAGAAAGAAGUGGCUGAGGUAAAGAUUAGCCAUAUUGAUGGCCAGAGCACUACUAGAGGCCAAAUAGCCUGCAUCUAUAUUUCAUGCUCUUACACAUACUGCCUUUUCAAGGCUGAAACCGCUUGAUUAAUGUAAAUGUGCAAUGCACAGCAGACAACUAUGAUCAUUCUUGCAUUUGCAAGAGUACAAUAGCAUCAGAAUUGCUGUGACAUAGACCAUUUGGCUAUGGUCUCUGAAUGGAACAAUCCUUAAUCCUAUUCUCCUGAUCUUUCCCCAUAGUCAUACAUAUCAUUUUCCCAAUUGACUGAUUACCCCUAGAAGGACAUGACUUCUAAAUUGUACCUGCUUUUCUUUCAGUUUUUCCCUUGCAUCUUUUGCCUAAAGAUCAAACCUGUGCCAAAAAUGCUGCAAGUGCUCAGGAGGUUGGGCAGCAACAGCAGCAGGGAGAGAAAUGGAAAUUGUUUUGUCAAGGAUCCUUCGGAAUCAUUUGGAACUUAGUGAGAAGAGAACCAUGCAUGUUAAUUUGCAGAGAAGAGGAAAUGGGGUGCAGACCAGAGUUGCCAGUUUUAAAAACCUGCAAUUGGAACAAAACACCACAAAUAAUUUUGAAAUGUAAUUGAAACAAAGCUGCAGCUGCUUCUGUGAAGAAAAUAAAGGAGAGGGGUGUGGGGUUUACCUGAAAUUGUUAAACCUGAAGUUGUAAAGUGCUUGUACUGGCAUCAUUGGAGUAAUAUAGGAGGCUGAAAACAAAAGGUGUUGGAGUGAGGUGGAGAAUUAAAUUCAGAGACAACUGGAAGCUCAGGGCAGCUUUGGACUGAUUUUGGUUUCUACAAUGUAGAAGAGACCAAAUUGUGAACACCAAAUUAACAAGGACAUUCAGGAAUAUAGGAGCAGGCAGAGGCCACCAGAUCCCUUAAGCCUGCCUGCCAUUUAAUGUGACUAUGGCUGAUUAUUCCUAGCCCACUGCCCUCAAUCUUUAAUUACUUAAUGGGCUUGCACAACUCUUUGGGGGCAGAGAAGUCUAGAGAUUCACUACUCUCUGCAAGAAGAAAUUUCUAUGUACCUUGGUUUGAAAUUCUGACUAGUGAACACAUCUUGACAUCUACUGUCAUGCCUCCUUUUGUUUCAAUUAGAUCACCUCUCAUUCUUCUAAACUCACAAAUACAGAGCCAGAUUUGCUGGACUUAGAUGUUAUUCUAAUUCUGUACAAUUGGAUGCAAGUUAUAAGAGUGUUGCUGUUCAUAGUCAAACAGCAUGGAAACAAGACUUAAGACCUAAGUCCAUGCUGACAAUCAAGCAACUGUUUACACUAAUCCCAUUUUAACUUUAUGAAAAUCAAAACUGACUAUCUGAAAUAAAGUUUAAAUGUUGAAAAUAUUAAGCAAUUUAAACACUAAUCAACUCUAUUCUUUCUUUCCUAGUUCUGAUGAAGGGCCUUUGACCUGAAUCCUUAACUGUUCCUCAUUGCACAAGUGCUUGCUGACUGCAUCCAGCAUUUUCUCUAUUCCUUUAACACACAACUUUUUGCUGUAGAUUCAACCCCAAUUUCUCCAGUAAAACCUUGUAGCUAUAAUCCUUGAUCUCUGGGUACAGGCCAAAUGAGAUUAGUUCAAAUAGUUGUCUUGGAUAGCAUGGAUCAGUUGGGCCAAAGGGCCUUUUCCAUGCUCUGUGACGGAAACCAUUCUAGUACAGUUUUUUUGCACAAGACUGUCCCAAACUUUAUGGCUUAACUGGUUCAACAUCACCUCCUUACUUUUGUACUCUUAUGUCUGUGUUUAUAAAUUCAAAGAUUCCAUGUGCAUUAUUCACUCAACAUACCCUGCCAAUUUCAAAGAUUUGUGCACAUGUACUCCCAGAUCCCCAUUUCACUUCAAUUUAGUCCUUGGCAGUGAUAGAGUUGACACAACUGACAAUGGAAAGGGUUUGGCAGGAUGUGGUGGUGGAAGAGAAAAGGUUGGUGAAAAAGGUCUCAAUAUUAGGUAACCAUUCCCUGAAAGACAGUAAACAUUAAGUGAGACGUUGAUCAAACUCUGCUUUUAAACCUUGUCUCAGACAAGGUUAUAUAAAAAAAAAUGAAUUAUAGCUUCAAAUACAGAAUGGCUAUCAUCACAUCACAUCCUUCUCUAGAGUGAUGCAAGCACAGUGGAGCAAUGUAAAUCACCCUGAAACAGGCUGGAACAGUAAUGAUUUCACACUCCCACUUUAAACAUUUAAAAGCUAAAGCUGAUUUGCAUCUUUCAUAUUCUUAAUCUAUUAGCCUUAAGCACUUUUGAAGAACUUCUAUAAUAAACAAACACUUUAUUUCUGGGUUUAAGGCACAAGGGAUCCAAAACACGUUAGCAAAUUGUCAAAAUUGACUUUGAGGCAGAGGGUAGUGGUGGAUGGGUUUUUCUGACUGGAAAUCUGUACCAACAGGAUCAGUGUUGUUUGAAAUGACUUGAAUGAGUAUGUAGGUGAUACGAGUAGUAAGUUUGCAGAAAUUUUGUUUAUUCAUAGAUAGUGAAGGUUGUUCAAGGCUACAGUGGGACUAGAUCAGCUGAAAAGUUGGGCAGAGUGAUGGUGGGAAUUUAGUCCAGAUAAAUGUGAGGUAAUGCACUUUGGGAAAAUUCUGGUAGGACGUAUAGAAUAAGUGUCAGGCAUCUUGGGAGAAUUGAUGUACAAAGAGACCUUGGGGUACAGUCCAUAGAUCCCUGAAAGUGGUGUCACUGAUAGAGAAAAUUGCAUUUGGUAUGCUUGGCUUCCUUAGUCCAAAAAUCUUAAGUGUAAGAAUUGGAAUGUCAUGUUACUGAUAUACAAACAUUGGUUAGACUGCACUUGUGUACAUUUCUGGUCCCCACACUGCAAGGAUGUGGUAGCAACAGAGAGAUUCCAAACAGGUUCACCAGGAUAUUGGCUGGAAUGGAGGGCUGUAGUUACAAGGAGAGAUUAGAUAGGCUGAGUUUAUUCUCACCAGAACAUAGGAGGCCAAGGAUGACCUUAUAAGGUUUAUAAAAUUAUGAGGGGCAUAGAAAGGAUAGACAAACAGAAUCCUUUUCCCAGGACAGUGGAGUCUAGAACUAGAGGGCACGGGCUUGAGAGAGGAGAAAUUUAAAAGAAAUCUGAGGGGUAAGGUUUUCCACACUGAGGCUGAUAAAUAUCUGGAAUGAGCUGCCAGAAGUGGUGGAGGCAGAAACAAUCACAGCGUUUAUGAAGGUGUCUGGACAGGUAUUUGGAUAGGAAAAGCAUAGAGGGACACAGGCCUAAUGCAGACAAGUGGGAUUAGUAAUAGAUAGGCAUCAUGGUCAGGAUGGACAAAGUGGACCAAGAGGGCCCAUUUCUGUGCUGUACGUUUCUAUAAUUAAUGAACCCUCUAAAUGAAAAUAGUAAUGAUCAUUCAUAUGAACAAAUUUUAAAAUUCUUUCAUUUCUAUUUAUUUGUAGUACAAAAUAUAAAGACCUGGUUCAAGACCAACUUUACGUUGACUGGUUCUUUUGUCGCUCCUCGCUAGUUAUUUGGAUUAACUAACUUCUUUGCCAACUGUGAUAGCAGGUCAUGGCAGAUUUUCUGUUGAAGAACUCAUUGCUUAAAUUAUUCCAUCAUUUUCUACAGCAUAAACAAUAUUACUUCUAUUUUCUUGGAGUCUGCCUAUGAAGGAGACAGUUUCUGUUAAAGCGUAUUCGGUGUGACUGUCCUAUUUUGCUGUUAAGUAUAAAAGUUAACAAUUCAGAACAA